CCGACUUGUAGGCGGGCCGGCGGGCGGACACGCACAAACUUGCAUUUCCUCAACCCUUAUCUGCCGCGCACCAGCCUGCGGGGAACACCCCCUCACCCCCUUCCUCUCAGGUUUCGUCUGGAUCCAGGAUCCGGACCCACGGGACUCGCACCAGAGCGGAUGACCUCGGAACCCCCGCCCGCCGCGCCCCCUCCGGACCCGUGUGCCUUUCGACCGAUCGGCGAGGAGCAGGAAGAGGAGAACCGGAUGGAGCGGCUUUUGAAAAACGUUUUCUGGAAAAGCCAUACCACGUCGCAUUGGAGGACCCCUGUGAUUUGCAGACUCUUUGGAUGCCGCGUGGCCUCCUCCUUUGCGCUUCCUGUUCCCGCACGACAUCCCGAAAGGCGCUGCGAAAACGAGAAAGAAAAAACAUAUCAAAUCAGCUCUUUUCACAAGAAAAGCACCGGCCGGCCGCAUUUGAAUCUCCAAACGGGUGGGGGUGGGGGGUGGGGGGGUGAGAAAAAGAAAACGGGUGCGUUUGAGUCAUCUUGCUCUUCCCGUCGCCAUUCCUAUUUGUCUUUGGUCUUGUGGUGCGCAUGCUCUCCCUGGUCAGUGCGAGACGCCCACGCAUGUUUGGGCGCAGCGCUCCCACCCGGCCCGACGCGGUCCCUUUAAUUGGUGGCUCCUUUCUCCGAACCCACUUAUCGACGCUGCCAAAUGGGUGCGAAAAAGCCAAACGUUUUUUGUGUCUGCGCGCGUGCGUAUGUUCAAAUAUUUGUUGAUUCUCGAUUGAAUAAAAUCACUGCCUCAUC
Molecule: long non-coding RNA, 791 nt
Organism: Hippocampus zosterae (dwarf seahorse)
Lineage: Eukaryota; Metazoa; Chordata; Actinopteri; Syngnathiformes; Syngnathidae
Exons: 2
Source: RefSeq, a predicted model, not a curated record